RNAcentral lists this ribosomal RNA (253 nucleotides) under uncultured bacterium. Its description in RNAcentral is "partial 16S ribosomal RNA". It matches the Rfam family "Bacterial small subunit ribosomal RNA", at positions 524 to 776 of the family's 1533-position model. The record is from RNAcentral.
UACGAAGGGGGCUAGCGUUGCUCGGAAUCACUGGGCGUAAAGGGCGCGUAGGCGGGUCUUUAAGUCCGGGGUGAAAUCCUGGAGCUCAACUCCAGAACUGCCUUUGAUACUGAAGAUCUUGAGUUCGGGAGAGGUGAGUGGAACUGCGAGUGUAGAGGUGAAAUUCGUAGAUAUUCGCAAGAACACCAGUGGCGAAGGCGGCUCACUGGCCCGAUACUGACGCUGAGGCACGAAAGCGUGGGGAGCAAACAGG